CAAGUCGUGGGGCAGCAAGGGUAGCAAUACCUGUUGGCGACCGGCAAACGGGUGAGGAACAUGUACGCAACCUUCCUUUAACUGGAGAAUAGCCCCUCGAAAGAGGGAUUAAUACUCCGUAACAUAUUGAUAAGGCAUCUUAUUAAUAUUAUAGCUCCGGCGGUUAAAGAUGGGCGUGCACCUGAUUAGAUAGUUGGCGGGGUAAUGGCCCACCAAGUCUGCGAUCAGUAACUGGUGUGAGAGCACGACCAGUCACACGGGCACUGAGACACGGGUCCGACUCCUACGGGAGGCAGCAGUAAGGAAUAUUGGUCAAUGGACGCAAGUCUGAACCAGCCAUGCCGCGUGGAGGAUUAAGGCCCUCUGGGUUGUAAACUCCUUUUAUCUGGGAAGAAAUGUACUUUUUCUUGAGUACUUGACGGUACCAGAGGAAUAAGCACCGGCUAACUCCGUGCCAGCAGCCGCGGUAAUACGGAGGGUGCAAGCGUUAUCCGGAUUCACUGGGUUUAAAGGGUGCGUAGGUGGGCAGGUAAGUCAGUGGUGAAAUCUCCGAGCUUAACUCGGAAACUGCCGUUGAUACUAUUUGUCUUGAAUAUUGUGGAGGUAAGCGGAAUAUGUCAUGUAGCGGUGAAAUGCUUAGAUAUGACAUAGAACACCAAUUGCGAAGGCAGCUUACUACACAAUCAUUGACGCUGAGGCACGAAAGCGUGGGGAUCAAACAGGAUUAGAUACCCUGGUAGUCCACGCCCUAAACGAUGAUUACUCGACGUGUGCGAUACACUGUACGCGUCUGAGCGAAAGCAUUAAGUAAUCCACCUGGGAAGUACGUUCGCAAGAAUGAAACUCAAAGGAAUU
RNAcentral lists this ribosomal RNA (855 nucleotides) under uncultured Flavobacteriia bacterium. RNAcentral's name for it is "bacterial SSU rRNA". It matches the Rfam family "Bacterial small subunit ribosomal RNA", at positions 58 to 911 of the family's 1533-position model. Lineage: Bacteria; Pseudomonadati; Bacteroidota; Flavobacteriia. The record is from RNAcentral.